GGUUAUGGCUCAGCGGUAGAGCGCUCGCCUUGCAAGUGCAAGGCCCUGGGCUAGAUCCUCAGCACCA
RNAcentral lists this transfer RNA (67 nucleotides) under Marmota monax (woodchuck). RNAcentral describes it as "tRNA.Ala". Lineage: Eukaryota; Metazoa; Chordata; Mammalia; Rodentia; Sciuridae. The record is from RNAcentral.